This 431-nucleotide ribosomal RNA is filed under the name uncultured bacterium. RNAcentral describes it as "partial 16S ribosomal RNA". It matches the Rfam family "Bacterial small subunit ribosomal RNA", at positions 29 to 507 of the family's 1533-position model. The record is from RNAcentral.
AACGAACGCUGGCGGCAGGCCUAACACAUGCAAGUCGAGCGCCCUUUCGGGGGAGCGGCGGACGGGUGCGUAACGCGUGGGAAUAUGCCCUUCUCUACGGAAUAGCCUCGGGAAACUGAGAGUAAUACCGUAUACGCCCUUUGGGGGAAAGAUUUAUCGGGGAAGGAUUAGCCCGCGUUGGAUUAGGUAGUUGGUGGGGUAAUGGCCUACCAAGCCGACGAUCCAUAGCUGGUUUGAGAGGAAGAUCAGCCACACUGGGACUGAGACACGGCCCAGACUCCUACGGGAGGCAGCAGUGGGGAAUCUUAGACAAUGGGGGCAACCCUGAUCUAGCCAUGCCGCGUGAGUGAUGAAGGCCUUAGGGUUGUAAAGCUCUUUCAGCUGGGAAGAUAAUGACGGUACCAGCAGAAGAAGCCCCGGCUAACUCCGUG